CAAUUCACCUGGCAGGGGAGACACCUUGAUCACGAAGGAGGUUUUCCCAGGAUGAGGCUCGUCCAGGGCGCUGAGGGUGUGCUGACCCCCGCGAUUUCCCCAAAUGCAGGAAACUCAAUCAAAUGCCUUAUUCUGGAUAUUUUUGCACUCCUUAAGAAGGUGUACAACU
Molecule: small nuclear RNA, 169 nt
Organism: Sphaerodactylus townsendi
Lineage: Eukaryota; Metazoa; Chordata; Lepidosauria; Squamata; Sphaerodactylidae
Product: U1 spliceosomal RNA
Exons: 1
Source: RefSeq, a predicted model, not a curated record